GAACAACUAUUCUAAAAGUAAUUUUUGACAAAAAUUGUUUUCAAAUAGAAGUGA
This 54-nucleotide unclassified non-coding RNA is filed under the name Brochothrix thermosphacta. Its description in RNAcentral is "UnaL2". The record is from RNAcentral. Lineage: Bacteria; Bacillati; Bacillota; Bacilli; Caryophanales; Listeriaceae.